AUUAAAAUUUGUUUCGAUUCAAGGUGUAAAAAUAUGGUUAUCGAGGUGAAUUCGUUAAAAUGCAUAUGGUAGCAUGAUGUAAAGUCUCCUAUUUCUCGCCACUGCUGUUUUGAAAAUGACUUUCUUUGAAAAUACUCAUAAAUUCACUCUUGCGGUACUUCACAAGAAGCCUGAGUUUUUCUGCGUCGUUCUAAAGCUUCUUCAAAGGGACGAUUCUAUUUUCUGAUGUAUCAAGGCAGAAAACCUGACAGAUUUGGAAACAUCUCUCCGUAAAAGUUUACAAGCGAGAGUCCUGCAAAUAUUACAGAAGUGUGGACAGAUAUGAAAGGCAUGAAUUUUCAACCCACAACUGCCCACAAAGCGCGUCCUUGAAUUGCUCUACAAAUGAAACUGAAUCUUCCUCAAACAACGAACACAAAAGGCGCUUCGAACGGGCGAAAAUUCAGUAAUUAUCAAAUGAGCUUUAAACUUGGACAAAAAUGGCACAUGACCUUCGGACGAGUUAGUAUUUUAGCGCAAAGAGGAAGAAAAAAAAAACUUAAGACAAAUAAAUAUUGGGUUUUUCCUUUCUAGAUUCAGUUUCCAAAAAAGAAUAAUCAUACCUUUUGGAGGGUGGGAAUACUCAUGAAUUACGACAGGCAAAUAAAGAGAAUAUGGAAAGGCCAAGCGCUAGGAAAGCGUUUAAAAAAAAAAAAUCGCUCUACUGACUCGGCCGUUCACUUUUUAUUUGGUUCCACUCCUGAAGGAUUUACUUUAAAUUAUUCUUCUUUCAGCAUGCUUUUUAAAACUUGCUAAAAACUACUAAAUGUUGAUUGAGUAGUCUGGUCGUCCGCGGAAGAGAAAAGUCCUCGAAAGGGUUGAUAUCAGCUGCAUUGACUGACCAAACCUGAGUUGUGCUCUACUAACAAAGAACUCCUCACUUGACCCUAAUGAUAACUUCUGCUUAGGCUGCUGAAACGUCAGUCACUUUUACAGACAACAGUCUUUUCCAGCACCGAUCACAACCGGGAAAUCAGACUGUACGAUGAGUUACGGCGAACUCUCGUGAAGAGCUAGGUCAUUACUGAGUUAUUGUGUAAGACGCGACCUGUAUAUUGCUAGGAUCUGAAACAUUGAAAGCGUCGUGUGGAGUUUUCCAGCAGUAACUAUCGAUAAAGUUUAUCGUUCCUGAAUUCUGGCAUGAACAGAAUAAAUCCUCGGAAUAUCAGCCAUUGGCAGGGCAUCGGUCAGUAGAGACGAGCGAGACAGCACGUGGGCACAAAACGGCGGAAGUUUUGGAGGUAUAAAAAACAAAGAGAAAGAAAAUCUGCUGCCGUUUCACCAGACAAAUAUUAAGUUCCAUUCGCUUGUUAUUUCGUUCGUCUCCUCUAACCAAGAGAGCCUGGUACCAGCUUAUGCAAUAUCGGCGAAACAAGAACAUAUACAGGAUAUCAACUGUUGAUACUAUAUAUAAUUUGGUUUUAUAAACUAAGUUUAUAAUGUAUUGUGAUUCGCUCGACGAACGGCUAACGCUCGAAACGUCAGGUUGGAAACUCUUUACGGUGGCCAAUUUACAUCAUCAGCACAGUUGAUAAAACCAAAUUACCCUGCUAGACUCCCCCAUCAACGUAGCAACACAGAUUCUUUUGGUAACUUACCCAUUUAUUCAUUGGUGAUACUAUAUGCUCGUCUUUAUUUUCAAAAGAAGACUUUUUUAUUACGAAAAUAACUGCUCAUUUUUUCAGCAUUUU
Molecule: long non-coding RNA, 1730 nt
Organism: Pocillopora damicornis (cauliflower coral)
Lineage: Eukaryota; Metazoa; Cnidaria; Anthozoa; Scleractinia; Pocilloporidae
Source: RefSeq, a predicted model, not a curated record